AACGAACGCUGGCGGCAGGCCUAACACAUGCAAGUCGAACGCCGUAGCAAUACGGAGUGGCAGACGGGUGAGUAACGCGUGGGAACAUACCCCUCGGUUCGGAAUAACUCAGGGAAACUUGAGCUAAUACCGGAUACGUCCGAGGUCUUAAUCGGCCUUGGAGAAAGAUUUAUCGCCGGAGGAUUGGCCCGCGUCUGAUUAGCUUGUUGGUGAGGUAAUGGCUCACCAAGGCGACGAUCAGUAGCUGGUCUGAGAGGAUGAUCAGCCACAUUGGGACUGAGACACGGCCCAAACUCCUACGGGAGGCAGCAGUGGGGAAUAUUGGACAAUGGGACGAAAGCCUGAUCCAGCCAUGCCGCGUGAGUGAUGAAGGCC
Molecule: ribosomal RNA, 375 nt
Filed under: uncultured bacterium
Lineage: Bacteria
Description: bacterial SSU rRNA
Rfam family: Bacterial small subunit ribosomal RNA
Source: RNAcentral